RNAcentral lists this ribosomal RNA (253 nucleotides) under uncultured bacterium. Its description in RNAcentral is "partial 16S ribosomal RNA". It matches the Rfam family "Bacterial small subunit ribosomal RNA", at positions 524 to 776 of the family's 1533-position model. The record is from RNAcentral.
UACGUAGGGAGCGAGCGUUAUCCGGAUUUAUUGGGUGUAAAGGGUGCGUAGACGGGAAAUUAAGUUAGUUGUGAAAUCCCUCGGCUCAACUGAGGAACUGCAACUAAAACUGGUUUUCUUGAGUACUGGAGAGGAAAGUGGAAUUCCUAGUGUAGCGGUGAAAUGCGUAGAUAUUAGGAGGAACACCAGUGGCGAAGGCGACUUUCUGGACAGAAACUGACGUUGAGGCACGAAAGUGUGGGGAGCAAACAGG